RNAcentral lists this long non-coding RNA (1880 nucleotides) under Gallus gallus (chicken). Its description in RNAcentral is "lncRNA (ENSGALG00010030018.1)". Lineage: Eukaryota; Metazoa; Chordata; Aves; Galliformes; Phasianidae. The record is from RNAcentral.
UGCUGCAGUAGCAAGAAAGCUUACUGGUACUGCAGUCAAAAGCUAGAGAUCUAGGAAAUGGUUAAAAGAGGCUUGGAAAGCAGAGGCAGACAAAUCCAAAUUUUUUCAUAGCCUUUAAUGCAGGCACUCAUUCAAACAGACAAGGCAUUGUAGCACCAUUCCUUACAAGAAACAAGAUCAAGAGGCUGCAGUGGCCACAGAACACCCUCACAAAUACCAAGGAGUUCCCUCAGCAUCUCUUUACUCUUCCACAUCUCCAAAAGAAGAUGCAAAUAUCAGCAGAUGCAAAUACAUAUGGAGCCAUGGGCCAGGAUAAUUUACAACAGCUGGAAAUGUGAGCCACCUCCUUAAUGCAGAAGAGUCAUGAGUUCUUUCCUGUUCUAUUGACUCAGAUCUCCCCAACCUACUCUGAGAACUCUUUAGGCAUUGGGUUAUCUACCACAAAAAAGCUAAGUGGAAAUCCCCAGCCAGGAAAAAGAACAAAAAAACAACAAUAUAAAAAUCUCUUUCUUCUGCACAUGUAUGAAAGAAGUGUGAGGACACAGUCUAUCCUUCAUUGAUCAGGGAAAUGAAGGAGCCAAUAGCCCAGAAAGACAUGCAGAGUUGAAAGCGUAGACCACCUCACUCUGCAGACCAGAUUUUGCAUUGGAAAAGACUUCUUUUGUUUCUGGCUUUCACUUUGCUCCUUGCCAUCCACCUUCCUGUCAACCUAUGGGUUACAUCAUUCAUUCAAAGCAACUCAAGUCCAGGUUGUCUUGGGACUGCUUGGUCCCAACAGCCACUGACCCGGUGACUUUACUUCCAGAAGCUGCCCACUGUUUCCCAGAAGUGACGUUCCUUGACUGGAGCCAAUGACCUGGAUCUGUCCCCUCUCCUGGAGCCAGUCCCAGCAGCAGAGAUGUGCCAGGAGCAUCCCUGCCAGCAUGACCAGUCUGCUUGUCCUGUGCACAAUGAGGAAAGAGCUCUCUUCUAGCACGUGUGGUCCUGAGCUACUGAGCCACAAGGACAGACCAACAUCUGAAUCAACAGAGGCAAAGCCAUACAGAAGAAAAGCUAAUGUGCUCCUACCUUUUCUCAGCUGUAUUAUUUACUUGACUCCAAUGAUUCCAUCAUAUUGAAAAAUCAAUGGCGUUUUAGAAGUGUAAAACCAAGGAAAAGCUGUAUGGAUUCUGACUAUUUUGAACUACUUCUCUGAAAGGGUGGUCAGGCACUGGAAUGGGCUGCCCAGAGAGGUGGUGGAGUCACCGAGCCUGGUGGUGUUCAAAGAGCGUUUGGAUGUUGUGUUGAGGGACAUGGUUUAGUGAGAACCAUUGGUGAAGGGCGAGUGGUUGGACUGGAUGAUCCUGUGGGGCUUUUCCAACCUCAGCGAUUCUGUGAUUCUAUGAAGCUUUACAGAUGCUUGCUGACCUAACAUGGGAGGAGUAUCAUUAUUUUAUUGACGAAACUCUUUUUUUUUUGUUGUUGUUUUAAUAUGGAAAAUCUCAGUGGCACUUCACUCCAUUUGUCUUUUUUUUUUUUUUUUUCCUUUUUAGUCAUAUGAUAAUGUACACUUAUAACCAGUGAAUCAUCCCCCCAAAAAGUCAUAAAGAGAAAAAUAGCUCAUAUGUAUGCCUCAGCGGCCAAUGAAUCAUUGACGACAGGUAUAAUGGGAAUAAUUACAUACUGUUGAGAAACUUUACUCAAAGCCCAGCUCAGAAGGCUAGUUUCAAAACUUCUGAGUUAUGCAGUUGGAUCCAAGGUUGAGAGUGCCAGGUUAGGAAACAGCCAGGAGAAUUUCAGAUUUGUGUUACUGCAAGGAAAUAUCCUCUCCAAGAGUCUGUUAUGUGUUGACAAAUUGUUUAUACUUAAUGAAGCAAUAAUAAUGAAUAGUCUAAAUAGGC